UUCUAUAUAAUAAACUCAAUUUAUUUCCAAUAAAUAACAAUCAUAGUGAAGGAGAAAAACAAUCCAAGUAAUUUAUGAAAACAAUGUGAUUAUAUAUACUUAGCCUGGGCAGGGUACAGAUAGGAGAAGUACAAUCUUGCAGUCUUGAUUUUACAGUGAUAUGGGCAAAAGCAAUUCUAAAACUUUUCUAGAUGUUUUAUAGGAUUGAACAAGUGAAUAAAAUGGCUAAUUUUGGGGGGAGUCAGGAUUCUGAGGAAGAAGAACCAUUGAAACACUGAAUGGGGAAGGUAAGAAAGAACUCUAUGAGGAUGGAUUGGAAUUGGAUGUAUUAGUGUGAACUCAUGUCUGAAAUCAAACGCAUAAGGGCUGAUAAGCACAUGUAAAUGUAGGUGUCCAUGCACAUUUUGUAUAUAUGCAUUACAGGCACAUUUCCUAGUUCUGUCUGCUGAACAGGCCUAGCAGAUGACACCCAGUAGCAAUGUGCAUACCCAGCAGCCACAUCUUAUGUAUCUAAUAUCAUUCCCCAGGGUUCCUUGGAGAAAUUGCUGAUUCCAGAUGAUGGAACAUCUUUUAUUUAAGAUAACUGCUAAAAAAACAACAAAUGAUAGGGGAUGCCACAGAUUGAAGGAGCUCCCAUGGGCCAAAGCUAAGACAAUUUAGGCACAAAGUAAGUAAUGAAGUAUAAACUACUGAAAAAACAGAAAACCAGGAAGCCAAAACAAUAGGAAAUAUAAAAAUUCAUGCCAAUAGAUAUGGAUGGAUGGGGGAGAAAGGAGGGUUCCUGCUUACAGUAGAAUGCUGAGUGCCAACUGGUACAUGAGGAAGGAAUGCUGGAGUUGGAAAACCACCAUUUCGCAACUAUCAAAGUAAAGACUGAACAAGCAAGAAUCAUCAAGGGAUGCUAAACCCUGGGGGGAAAUGUCGAUGCCAGCAUGGACCUAAAGUCUCCCACAGAUUGCUUAUUAGAUGCAAGGUUAAAAACAGUAAGUAUACAUUGCACUAACUGGACAAUACCUUGCCCAGGCGACCAAAAUUAACAUCACCAGUGAGGAGCAGGACGGACACGCUGUGCCUCCAGAUGUGAUAUUCUGAUGGUACAGUCUCAACAAUGUACUACUCUGGCCAAGAUGCGUAAUCUAAUCUAAUCACGAGGAAACCCAAAAUGAGGAACAUUCUAUUAGAAACACAGGGGACAGGAGACAGAAGACUGUAUUCUUCAAAACCACGCCACGUCAAUGCCACAAAAGAUGAAGGCAGCCACGGAAAUGAUCCGGAGUGUAGGAGACUUAAGGCAGGCCAAGUGAACCAAAUCAGAAAGCAAAAAUUGUCAGAUCAUAACAGCAGGUGAAUGUGGGUAAAAGACGUAUUAACCUUCUUUGUACUAUUCUGAUUCUUGCCAAUUUUUGGUCAAUUUGAAAUCGUUUCCAUAUGAAAAGUUAAACAAUUAGGAGACACUGAUACUGGGUUGCCAACGUCAUGUUUGGCCUAACAAGGUUAUUAAAACGCAAUGAUUAAAAAAACAAAACUAUCACCUACUGUUAUACAAUUUUCUUUAAAAAAAGUGUUAGGAGGGGGUAUUUUAAACAUCCAAAACAUAGCAAGAUCUCUAAAUAAAAGAAGGGUCCUUCAAAAUGAAUAAAUUUAGAUUUAUGAAAAAAAAAUCACACUGUCCUAAUUUUUCUCAUUUCCCUGUGGACCAGGGAGAGCUUUGUCAGCUUGGAGUUAGAGAAUUAGUAUUCUAAACAGGGUGUGUUUUCAGCGAUGGAUGAAGAAUAGUACAAUAGAAAGCGCAUGGAAUCUGGAGCCAAAUGCUGAAUCCAAAUCUUGGCUGCAGCGGUUAGCAGCUUUACAACCUAAGCUCUCUUACCCAGUUUCCUCAAAUGCAAGGCAGAUAGCUAAAUCAUAGGACUGUUAACAGAACAGAAUUAAAUUAUUAUGUAUCUAGAACUUGGUUGAACACUGAGAACGCUCAACAAAUAUCUCCUUCUUUUCCUUUCCUUGGGAGCCACCUUACUGUUCUCUGGAGAUGCAUCUGACUGGGGGCCAUGUUGGCCCUUUCCUCAUUGACCCAACUCAGCCCCACUGGGAUUAUGCAAGAAACGGAAUUAUCCUGAGAAUAAACUUCUUUUCUGGAGGUAAACUUCCUGAAAACAGAAGCCAGGGAUAUUGAACAGUAAAAUGAAAAGACAGAAAGCUUAUAAAGACAGAUGAGUCGGAGCAUCACUAGUAACUGAUGAGUUCUGUUAAGGAGGUAAAGACAGUAGGAGGGAAGACGGUAUCGGUUUAUGUUAGAAAAGUCUGCUGCUUAAAAGACACUAAAACAGUAUGUUCAGGGGCCGGCUUUGCAGCUGAGUGGUUAAGUUAGCAUGCUUGGCUUUGGCGGCCCAGGGUUCCACCAGUUCAAAUCCUGGGUGCAGACAUGGCACCGUUCGUCAAGCCAUGCUGAGGCGGCAUCCCACAUGCCACAACUAGAAGGACCUAUAACUAAAAACUCACAACUAUGUACCAGGGGGGUUCGAGAGAAAAAGGAAAAAUAAAAUCUUAAAAAAAAAAAAGCCUACGUUAUUAAAAAACCGCAAAUAACAGCACAAAUCUAUUUUGCAAAUGACUAUCCCUCUAUUUCCAAGAGUGAAUAAUAGUUUGUCAAAAAUAAAUAUUAUUAAAUCACCAAUUCUAUUUGUUUUACCAGCUAUGUAUCUUUGAAGAAAAAAAAACUCAGUAAAAUGUCCAUGAGUUGUGAGAUUUCAUCCAAUUCUCUAUUGGUUUUUUGCUUCUUUGCACA
Molecule: long non-coding RNA, 2782 nt
Organism: Equus caballus (horse)
Lineage: Eukaryota; Metazoa; Chordata; Mammalia; Perissodactyla; Equidae
Source: Ensembl